This 87-nucleotide transfer RNA is filed under the name Gammaproteobacteria bacterium. Its description in RNAcentral is "tRNA-Leu". It matches the Rfam family "tRNA". Rfam says of the family: Transfer RNA (tRNA) molecules are approximately 80 nucleotides in length. Their secondary structure includes four short double-helical elements and three loops (D, anti-codon, and T loops). Lineage: Bacteria; Pseudomonadati; Pseudomonadota; Gammaproteobacteria. The record is from RNAcentral.
GCUCAGGUGUUGAAAUUGGUAGACAAGCUGGAUUUAGGUUCCAGUGCUCUUUUGGGCGUGAGGGUUCGAGUCCCUCCCUGAGCACCA